Molecule: ribosomal RNA, 354 nt
Filed under: Xenorhabdus sp.
Lineage: Bacteria; Pseudomonadati; Pseudomonadota; Gammaproteobacteria; Enterobacterales; Morganellaceae
Description: bacterial SSU rRNA
Rfam family: Bacterial small subunit ribosomal RNA
Source: RNAcentral
GAUAGAGGGGGAUAACCACUGGAAACGGUGGCUAAUACCGCAUAACCUCUUUGGAGCAAAGUGGGGGACCUUCGGGCCUCACGCUAUCGGAUGAACCCAGAUGGGAUUAGCUAGUAGGUGGGGUAAGGGCUCACCUAGGCGACGAUCCCUAGCUGGUCUGAGAGGAUGACCAGCCACACUGGGACUGAGACACGGCCCAGACUCCUACGGGAGGCAGCAGUGGGGAAUAUUGCACAAUGGGCGCAAGCCUGAUGCAGCCAUGCCGCGUGUAUGAAGAAGGCCUUCGGGUUGUAAAGUACUUUCAGCGGGGAGGAAAGGCGUGAGUCUGAACACGGCUCACGAUUGACGUUACCC